GGCGGGGCGGCGGCCUGACGGCCCCUUCUUUCUCAUCUCUUCAUGCACUUCUCUUUCAGCUGCUUUGAAUCAAUCGUGCCUUGACCUAAUCCGCAGCUUCUUGCUCUUCCUGUGCAGGUGCAGAUGCUGAUAUGGAUUCCAUGACCUGCUCUGAGGAACGCCCAUUGCGGCAGCCUUCUUGGGUUUGAGCCGAACGAUCCCAGGGUGAGCUUGUCCCUCCUCUGUUCCUUUCCAUGUGUUUGCAGUUGCCCUAUAUUAAUCAUCUGACACUGGCUUUGGUAUCUAUUUCUUUUCUCAUGUCAUUCACAAACCUUUCUUUUACCUAUCUUACAUAAUCAAUUAUUAGUGUUGGCUAUUCCCAGAAAUGUUUGGUAGUGUUGGGUCAUCCCGUGUGGUGAGGAUUUUUUUUCCGUUUUAGAAAUUUUUUUGGAUUGCAGAUGGCUAGAUUUGAGAUCCUUGCAAACUCAGAUCUUCUAUAACUAGCUGAUGUCUUUUAGUGAAUAACAUAAGUAGAAGUUCCAUCUCAGGUUCCAUCUUCUAUAGUAAUUAUAUUGUGUUCUUUGUAAAGCUUUUGUUGGAAAGAAGACCUUCUGCUGUCACUGUUUUAUUUACUUGUAGAAGGAACAAGAAAAUUUUGCUAGCAGUAAGGCUGCUGAUAUUCUCAUCUACCUCAGGAAUACACUGAAUCACGGGUUCUUAGCUAAAGCAGCAGUUGUUAGAUAUAAACUAACCACAUAUUCAGAGUUAUGAGGCCUCCAAGCAUAGGUGGACAGCCAUUCCUUCUAGCAGCAUGCUUGCUUGUGGAAAUACAUUGCUUGAACAGUGUUUAGGCCGAUCUGAUAUAAACCAAACCAAAACUGUGAACACAUUGCAGAACCUCUUGCUUUUAUGGUUCUCAGUUAUCAAACCAAUUAGGAUUCCUUAAUGUGGUAGUGAACCAAACAUUGUUCUCAGUGAAGGGUUGUGUUUAUUGGUUACCCAUUUUUGUGUUUAAACUAUUCUGAACUUUUCUAAAGAAAACUAUUUCCAUACACAAUGGGCUGGUCCGGCUGGAUGGGCCACCCCCCAUAGUUUAGGCCUGAGUCAGGUACGCCUUCUUUGUUGAGUCAUGUGCUGCUACUGAGUUAUUGCUUGUCUGCUUUAGAAGUUGUGAUCAUCCUGGAAUGUGAUAACUUAGCACUAAUGUUGGCAAAUCUGAGAUAGGGUGGGUCUCCAUCAUUGCAUUUCUAUUUGUUCGAAUCCAUGGAUUGCAUUUCUGUCUGUACUCUAAUGAUGCAGUUGGGGUAUAGGUGUGCGCUCUUAUAGACUUGCAAAAUUUUGUUCCUCGCCUUGAGACUUAAGUGCGAAGGAAUGAAGGGCUCAUCCUAAAGGAUGUCAAUUCCCAUGUGAUUGUUCAGCUUAUAUUGCACUAAUUUAUAUGGAUUCAGGGUGACCCGGUGAAAGAAGAACUAGAGUGAAGGGAAGAGAAUUGGAACUAUAUGGCUGUUCAACAAUCAGUACAGCUGAGAGAAGGUUGCAAGACUUAAAUGCGAGAAGCCAGAAACAAGGGUCCAUUGGUUACUCAAUUAAAUUUGAAGAUACUCCAUGUUUUCUAAAUUCCAAGAAAAGAUUAGUCUUUGACAGCCCAUCUGAGCAUUGUAUGGGAUUGCUGUUUCUUUCUCGUAUACCAAAAAAAAGUGCAGCAGUCUGAACCUUUUCUGAUCAGAAGCAUUACUCUGAUAAAAUAAAAUACAUGACAAGGCUUUGGUUGCUGCUGCAGAUGCACCUGGUAGCUCCUCUACAAAGACAUGGAAAAGCACUACAAAGAAAAGGUCCUGUCCAUCCCCUAACAAGAAAGUUGCUAAGAAGAUAUUUACUGGUGAAGAAACUGCAGAUGGUAGUUGUAGCAGUGACGGUGGUGCAGCCACCUCUGAUUAGAACAUUCCAAGCAAGGAUGCAUGAGCAGUGAAGCUCAUGUUGCUUUUGUCUAACAGUUGCAGCCGGCUUUUUAUGUGCCCUUGGUCUCCGGCAAGAAGAGUCCAAUGCAUGGGACCUAGACCCUGCAUUGACCUCAAUCUGCAAACUGUGUAGCACGGUGUCUAGCUUGCUACCAAAUGUGCUGAUUUUAUAUUGAAUCCAUCUUAUACCAUGCGUAUGAUUUAGUUGUUAUUUUUUAUUAUCUUAUGCUUACUUACAUUUGACAGUUUAAAUGGCAGGGCGCGUCGGCGCCUCGCCGAAUGUUAGUAUAUAGGAAAACAUGGGCUUCCACAGUCGUGUGGAUCGCAGUCGUUAACGGAGGGAGAGAUGAUUCCUCCGAGCAGGUUCGGCCCGCCCAAAAGGAAUAGGAUUAGCCUGCCGCGAGGCGAGGCCGCGAGGAUAAGCACGCCAACGCCGUGCGAGCAUACAAGGGCGUCCGCAACAGCGGGCGAUUUGGGCCAGCGAUUUCAUUCUUUAAUCGAUGAACAGUAGACACACAGUAGUGUUUGCUAGCGAGGAGUUCGGCGCCGAUGGAUUUGAGCGACGAGAGAGCGCGCGGGCCCGAAGAAUAAAUGCAGCCGGCGACGUCGCUAGCAGCUGGCGAGGACCGUUGCGGACGCCCUAAACGCGGCCGCCGUCUGACACAGACUGCUGCGGACGGAUCCAUCGGGCGGACGCGUGACGAACGGGGAACCAAGCCUUUCCUUUAGGGUUUACGGGGAUGGGAACUGUGCACGGCAGUGCAAGGACCCAUGCAUCGUCCCACACACGGUUCAAUGCACUCGCCCCGGUCGCCGCGUCGAUGCAAAUAAUCAGCUCUCUGGCGUCCGUCCACGCUGUGGCGCGAGCAUGCAUUUCCGAGCGAUGGCGGCCAUGGGCCAUGUCGCGUCUCGUUUUCCCCGGUGGAGGGGAGUGAUAAAAAAAUUUCUAUCUCUAUCCAUACUAUUUCUAAAUUAAAUAA
This is a long non-coding RNA of Panicum virgatum (switchgrass), 2917 nucleotides long. RefSeq lists it as uncharacterized. The transcript is spliced from 8 exons. The record is from RefSeq and is a predicted model, not a curated record. NCBI's taxonomy places the organism in Eukaryota, Viridiplantae, Streptophyta, Magnoliopsida, Poales, Poaceae.